Molecule: long non-coding RNA, 1310 nt
Filed under: Mus pahari (shrew mouse)
Lineage: Eukaryota; Metazoa; Chordata; Mammalia; Rodentia; Muridae
Description: lncRNA (MGP_PahariEiJ_G0004208.1)
Source: RNAcentral
CAGGUUUAAAAUGCUGUGGCUGCUGAGAACAAUGUGCUUUAUCCAUGUACUUGGAAAAAUAUUUUGUUUAUUUGGACCAAACAAGAAUCCUGAAUCUAAAAUGAAUGUUUGAUGGUUAUAUUCUUCCAAUUAACCGAAUUCCACAUGGGAAGGAUAAUGCUAAUAAUUCAGCCCCAAAGAUGGUAGUACUUUGUGUCCCUGGCUUGUUUUCAACUGCUGGUGUAUGGGUUUCCAAUCCUCCUGACAAAUGACGUGUGGUUGGGAAACAACAGAGGAAGUACCUGGGCAAAGAAACAUGUGACCCUCAACCCAGAUUCUAAAGAAUUCUGGGCUUUUAGUUAUGAUGAGAUGAUAACAUAUGACCUUACAGCCAUCAUUAAUUUCAUUCUGGAGAAAACAGGACAAAAGCAGAUUUACUAUAUUGGCCAUUCUCAAGGAACCCUAAUCGCUCUAGGGGCAUUUUCAACAAAUCAAGAACUGGCUGAAAAGAUUAAAUUCAGCAUUUUACUAGCUCCAGUUCGUACUGUUAAAUAUGUCAAAGGUUCUGGGCGCCUUCCAGCUUAUUUCACUCCAAAAGCUUUCAAGCUUCUUUUUGGUGAAAAAGAAUUCUUCCCUACCAAAGCUUUCAGUAGACUGUCUCCAAGUGUGUGUGAUAUUAACUUGGUCGAUGCUGGGUGUGCUACUGUACUGAGCUCACUGACUGGAUAUUCUCCAGAGCAAUUAAAUACGAGCCGUGUUGAUGUGUACAUAACACACAGUCUAGCAGAAUCAUCAACUCAAAUUCUUAUACAUUAUGGUCAGGCCACUAGAAGUGGUGUAUUUCAGGCUUAUGAUUGGGGAAGUCCAUCUCUGAAUAUGCAACACACUACUCCUCCUAUAUACCAUGUGGAAGAUAUGAAGGUUCCAACUGCCAUGUUUACUGGUUUAAAAGAUUUUUUGUCUAACCCAGAAGAUGUUGCAAAUUUGGUACCCAAAAUCUCCAACCUCACAUACCAUAAGAUUAUUUCUGAUUUCAGUCAUCUUGAUUUUAUAACAGGAUUAAAUGCUAGGGAAGAGGUUUCUGAGGAAAUUUUAACAAUUCUUAGGAAAUAUGACGGUGACAUAUAGCUUUAGCUUUUCACAUGUUUUUAAACCUUUCUGAAAGUCUCUUGCUAUUAUAAGUGAAAAUAUUUUCUUGCUUGGCAUUUUCCUCCCUAAUUAUCUUUUUUAAAAGCUAUUGGUUCAUUUGUUGGUUCAUUUGCAUUAGUGAAAUCUAUGACUAUCAAGAGAAUACUUCAUCUUGUGACUGUUUUUAAUUAAUCUAAGUUUAU